GUUCUUUGAAGCUGCUUCAUGCAGAGGAGUGAACUGCCACAGAUCCAUCGCAUUCACACAUGCUCCAUGCUUCACUAGAAGCUCUGUUACUUCAUAAUGGCCAUAGGAACAGGCAUUGUGAAGUGGCACCAAAUCUCCCUUAUCCUUAGCGUGCACAUCAGCCCCAUGUUGCAGUAACAGCUGUACUAUUUUUACACGGUUAUACCCAGCUGCUAGAUGUAGAGGAGUAGACUUCCUGCCAUCACUCGCAUGACAGUUAACAUUCAAUGGUGUAAGAAGAGACAUCAUCUUUUCUUCAUUUCCACUCCUGGCACUUUCUAAGAGCU
This 326-nucleotide long non-coding RNA is filed under the name Gallus gallus (chicken). Lineage: Eukaryota; Metazoa; Chordata; Aves; Galliformes; Phasianidae. The record is from RNAcentral.